This 497-nucleotide ribosomal RNA is filed under the name uncultured bacterium. Its description in RNAcentral is "partial 16S ribosomal RNA". It matches the Rfam family "Bacterial small subunit ribosomal RNA", at positions 28 to 507 of the family's 1533-position model. The record is from RNAcentral.
GAUGAACGCUGGCGGCGUGCCUAAUACAUGCAAGUCGAGCGAACGGACGAGAAGCUUGCUUCUUUGAUGUUAGCGGCGGACGGGUGAGUAACACGUGGAUCAUCUACUUAUAAGACUGGGAUAACUUCGGGAAACCGUCGCUAAUACUGGAUAAUAUUUUGAACCGCAUGGUUCAAAAGUGAAAGACGGUCUUGCUGUCACUUAUAGAUGGAUCCGCGCUGCAUUAGCUAGUUGGUAAGGUAACGGCUUACCAAGGCGACGAUGCAUAGCCGACCUGAGAGGGUGAUCGGCCACACGGGAACUGAGACACGGUCCAGACUCCUACGGGAGGCAGCAGUAGGGAAUCUUCCGCAAUGGGCGAAAGCCUGACGGAGCGACGACGCGUGAGUGAUGAAGGUCUUCGGAUCGUAAAACUCUGUUAUUAGGGAAGAACAUAUGUGUAAGUAACUGUGGACAUCGUGACGGUACCGAAUCAGAAAGCCACGGCUAACUACGUG